RNAcentral lists this ribosomal RNA (995 nucleotides) under Neobenedenia sp. OLH-2001. Its description in RNAcentral is "eukaryotic LSU rRNA". It matches the Rfam family "Eukaryotic large subunit ribosomal RNA", at positions 70 to 790 of the family's 3401-position model. Lineage: Eukaryota; Metazoa; Platyhelminthes; Monogenea; Capsalidea; Capsalidae. The record is from RNAcentral.
CAGGAUUCUCUUAGUAACUGCGAGUGAACAGAGAUUAGCCCAACAUCGAAGCCACCAUGCAUUUGUAUGGGAGGCAAUGUGAUGUUUUGGUGUUUGAACGCACUGUCUGGCUAACUUGAAGUCCAUAUUUGACUGUGGCUUGUAUUUAUACACCCAGAGAUGGUGAUAGGCCCGUUCAGGUUGGUAUUCUGGCAUGACAGUUCAGUGUGUAAUCAUUCAUCAUAGAGUCGGAUUGCUUGAGAGUGCAGUCCAAAAUGGGUGGUAAACUCCAUCUAAGGCUAAAUACCUGUACGAGUCCGAUAGUCAACAAGUACCGUGAGGGAAAGUUGAAAAGUACUCUGAAGAGAGAGUAAAUAGUACGUGAAACCACAUGGAGGUUAAACAAAUAGAGUCAAGCUGCUUGCAUCAUAUCAUUGCAAUAUGCGCAUUUUGUUGCAUGACAUUUGCCGGGACCUGGCGUGUGAUUCUGUCUACUUGUAGGCAUUUGAACAUGUGUUUGUUGUUUGAAAGGUCUCGGUGAGUGUCUGCGCUUAUUGUUCAUGAUGGGUGCUAAUGCCAUAGUCGGUUGUACUACCAGUGCGCAGUAAUCGGCGAUUGUGCGGGCUGACUUAUUGUCGUUCGUGCAAUCAGUGAAACAGUUGGCAACAGUGUGUGCUUGCAUUCGCUUUUGUCAAAGAAGGCCACGGCCUGUUGAUUACUGUGAACAUUGUGAGAGUCGACCGUUCAUAUGUGCUCAUAUAAUUUGUGGUAGUAAGUCGACUUGUCGACUACUUCCAUAAAUGAGCUUAUGAGCUAUGGUAUUGUGGUAGACUUUCUAUUUGACCCGUCUUGAAACACGGACCAAGGAGUUCAACUGUGUCGCAAGUCAAGAAGCGUAAAACCUUCAUGGCGUAAUAAAUGUGAAACAUGAUAGUGUGAUCCGUGUGGCUUUGUAAUGAGGCUGCGCGGCGCAACACUGGCCCGUCCUUAUUUGUGCGUGGUGUGUACCAUGUAGC